Molecule: ribosomal RNA, 253 nt
Filed under: uncultured bacterium
Lineage: Bacteria
Description: partial 16S ribosomal RNA
Rfam family: Bacterial small subunit ribosomal RNA
Source: RNAcentral
UACGAAGGGUGCAAGCGUUGUUCGGAAUUACUGGGCGUAAAGGGCGCGUAGGCGGCUUACCAAGUCCGGCGUGAAAUUCCCGGGCUCAACCUGGGGGCUGCGCUUGAUACUGGUGAGCUUGAAUGCGGGAGAGGAUAGUGGAAUUCCCAGUGUAGAGGUGAAAUUCGUAGAUAUUGGGAAGAACACCGGUGGCGAAGGCGGCUAUCUGGCCCGUAAUUGACGCUGAGGCGCGAAAGCGUGGGGAGCAAACAGG